GUUUUCAGAUGAGUGCAUCAGAUUUUUUUCCCUCUUCGGCCUAAAGAGGAAUUACCAUCAGCCAUCACCAGGAAGAGCAAGUUAACUUUUCAGGUUGUUUCUCAGAGACCAUUUAAAGUCUGUGCUAUAGAGUAGGCAUGGCUCCAGUUCCAGAAGGAAGACUUGGGUCAAGUAGCUCACAGGCAAAUGACUUAAAUGCUUCUUAUAAGAUACUACCUGAAACAAUCUCUGCUUAAAACAUCCGAUCUCCAUAUUGUCGGAUCUUCCUAUAACUCUGGGAUGGCAGCUUUUAGUAGCAGCUAAAGAUGUAAGUAUUUUAAAAUCUAUUACAGAAAUGUUUUAUUUGAAAAUUUAAAAUGUUUUUAUGCUGACUAUAUUAGAUUUCUGUUAUAAAUAAGAUUAGUAGCCUAGAAGAAGAUUAAUAAUUGAUUAUUCUGGAAUUUAUAGAGCUUUUACAUUAACACUUUGGUCACAUGUUUAAAAGGUUUCAUCUCAUUUCCCAGAUUGCCUCUACUCCCUCCCUGUUCUACUCCAGUGUGGCAUAAAAAUGCAAGCUGCUUAAAAUUCUCAAAAGCAUUUGUAUGUCUGGAGUUUCAUUGUUUAUUUAUCAAAGGAUAAUACCAAUUAUACUUUUCACUUAUCUGGAUUUAAGAAUGGUGUUUAUAGAAAAAAUUAAAAAGUAAUACCAACUAUGCCCAACUUUCCCCCUAAGUGUUAACAGUUAAUUUAAUGACAAACUUUUCCAUUCAAGUAAUUAGGUCCUGAAGACAAAUAUUAAACUUCAAAACAAAUAAAUAGUUCAAAUAUACUGGGAGCAUAGCAGGAAAGCUAGGAUUUUAGUUAUUUAAGGCUAUCGCAAAAGGGAAGUUUGAAGUGCUAUGGAAUUAUAGUGAUGCUGUAUGGAGGUUCCAAGAGGAAAUAAUGAAUAACAGGCUGAAACCCAUUCACUCUAAGGAACCAUCAUUGCCAUUGCUGUGGCUUAAGCAACUUUUUAUUCUCUCUUCCUCUGUUGGAUCAUUUAGUAGUGGCUAAGAAUAAAUUUGAUUGAAACAAAAGCAAAAACAAAAACUUCCCAUAUUUAAAAUACCUUCUGUAGAUUUCACCAAAAAACAAAGGACUUUCAACAUGAUGACUGCUCCUUGUGGUUUCUUCUAAAUUCUGUUGUUCCUGAAUAAGCAGAACUCAGCAAGUGGGCCUCUCCCUCCACUGGCCUCCACAUAUUGCCACCCCCAACCCAAGCAGUAUGACCACAGCAGUUUCUGUUCACUCCACAUUUGCUUCUUCCAAAAGAAAAGUAGUAUACUUUAGUGGUUAAGGAGCUUUGGAAUCAGGCAAACGUGAGCGCCAAACCUUAACAUUUUCUAGGCAGCCUCUAAGUUUUCAUGUUCUCAUCAAUAAAAGAGCCUAACAAUAGUCCUACCUCACAGGCUUAAUGUGAGGGUUAAAUGGGACCAUGUUUGUAAAGGGUUUCACAUAGUGUAUAAGACAUAAUAAUGACUCAUGAAUGGUAGUUGAAAAUGUGCACCCUCACUUAUGAGUCUCUUUUCUUCUUCCUUUUCUCCUUCCCCUGGAGACACUUAGAAAAGAAAGCACGACCAGGCGCAGUGGCUCACACCUGUAAUCCCAGCACUUUGGGAGGCCGAGGCAGGCAACUCACCUGAGGUCAGGAGUUUGAAACCAGGCUAGCCAACAUGGUGAAACCCCUUCUCUACUAAAGAUACAAAACUUAGCUGGGUGUAGUGGUGGGCGCCUGUAGUCUUGGCUACUCGGGAGGCUGAAGCAGGAGGAUCACUUGAACCAGGGAGGUGGAGGCUGUGGUGAGCCAAGAUUGUACCACUGCACUCCAGCCUGGGAGACAGACAGAAUAGUUAUUAGUGGUAGCUGCUCCUGGAGAAUGUUCAUUCCCCAGCUCUUCCACCUGCAUGUACAGAGUAGCUACACUUGGCUUUGGAGAAAAUAUCAAAGAGAUACAGACUUGGCCUUUCUCCAGCCUUCACUUCAAGAGAGGAAUGGGCAACAUACACCUCAGGUGUUGGCUCCCUAUUGGAAACCAUGAUGUAGCCCAAUCAGCAGCCAGGCUCUGAUUUCAACUUGCUGCAGAGUGACAAACAUGGAAUUUGAAUAGCAAAAAUUCCCUUCCCAGAGAGAGCAAGCCAGCACUGACAGAGUAAAAAGGAUUUUUGGAAUAGCUGCUCCUUAUUUAUACUUUACUUCUAGGAUUGUGGGCUAGAAAUAUACAUAAAUGGAUCAUCUGAAGAAAAAUAUCAUUUACAUGCAGGGGUGAUCCUGUCACAGUCCCAGUGGUCUCAAGGCAGGAAGGGAAAAAUCUACUUUUUUGAUGAUCUACUCCAAUAUUUAAAUGUCCUUGACUUCAAACAACAAAAAUAACUUAUAUUUGUUGGACAUUUACUGUGCAUCAGAGUGCAAAGCUGAGCUCAUUUAAUCCUCCCAACCACCUCAUGAGGUAAUUACUUCUAUUAUCUGUAUUCUUCAUAUGAGAAAACUGAAGGUCAGAUGAAUGAAGAAAUCUGCCCGAAGUUAUCUACUGCUAUUAAGUGUUUGGAGCUAUUAAGGAUACUGUAACCUGUCUUUUUGAAUCCAAUAUGCACAACCUUAACUUACAUUUAUUAAGUUCAUUUUUGCAUGCCCUCAAUAAAGAGAAAGACCCAGUUACUCAGUGUUGUCCACAUAAUUCUUCAAAUACCCUUUUCUUGAAGCUAUCCAUUUCUUUAUCUAUUUCUCUUAUAUCUUUCUUUCUUUUUUUUCUUUUUUUUUUUUUUGAGAUGGAGUUUCGCUCUUGUUGCCCAGACUGGAGUGCAAUGGUAUGAUCUCAGCUCACUGCAACCUCUGCCUCCCAGG
RNAcentral lists this long non-coding RNA (2859 nucleotides) under Homo sapiens (human). Its description in RNAcentral is "HSALNT0320212". Lineage: Eukaryota; Metazoa; Chordata; Mammalia; Primates; Hominidae. The record is from RNAcentral.